RNAcentral lists this ribosomal RNA (478 nucleotides) under uncultured bacterium. Its description in RNAcentral is "partial 16S ribosomal RNA". It matches the Rfam family "Bacterial small subunit ribosomal RNA", at positions 28 to 507 of the family's 1533-position model. The record is from RNAcentral.
GAUGAACGCUAGCGGCAGGCUUAACACAUGCAAGUCGAGGGGUAUUUAUCUUCGGAUAGAGAGACCGGCGCACGGGUGCGUAACGCGUAUGCAAUCUACCUUUUACAGAGGGAUAGCCCAGAGAAAUUUGGAUUAAUACCUCAUAGUAUAUAGACUCGGCAUCGAGAUUAUAUUAAAGUCACAACGGUAAAAGAUGAGCAUGCGUCCCAUUAGCUAGUUGGUAAGGUAACGGCUUACCAAGGCUACGAUGGGUAGGGGUCCUGAGAGGGAGAUCCCCCACACGGGUACUGAGACACGGACCAGACUCCUACGGGAGGCAGCAGUGAGGAAUAUUGGACAAUGGGCGCAAGCCUGAUCCAGCCAUGCCGCGUGCAGGAUGACGGUCCUAUGGAUUGUAAACUGCUUUUAUACGAGAAGAAACACUGCUACGUGUAGCAGCUUGACGGUAUCGUAAGAAUAAGGAUCGGCUAACUCCGUG